Molecule: ribosomal RNA, 440 nt
Filed under: uncultured bacterium
Lineage: Bacteria
Description: bacterial SSU rRNA
Rfam family: Bacterial small subunit ribosomal RNA
Source: RNAcentral
AUUGAACGCUGGCGGCAGGCCUAACACAUGCAAGUCGAGCGGUAGAGAGGUGCUUGCAUCUCUUGAGAGCGGCGAACGGGUGAGUAAUGCCUAGGAAUCUGCCUAGUGGUGGGGGAUAACGUUCGGAAACGGACGCUAAUACCGCAUACGUCCUACGGGAGAAAGCGGGGGAUCUUCGGACCUCGCGCCAUUAGAUGAGCCUAGGUCGGAUUAGCUAGUUGGUGAGGUAAUGGCUCACCAGGGCGACGAUCCGUAACUGGUCUGAGAGGAUGAUCAGUCACACUGGAACUGAGACACGGUCCAGACUCCUACGGGAGGCAGCAGUGGGGAAUAUUGGACAAUGGGCGAAAGGCCUGAUCCAGCCAUGCCGCGUGUGUGAAGAAGGUCUUCGGAUUGUAAAGCACUUUAAGUUGGGAGGAAGGGUAGUAACCUAAUACGUU